RNAcentral lists this ribosomal RNA (494 nucleotides) under uncultured bacterium. RNAcentral describes it as "partial 16S ribosomal RNA". It matches the Rfam family "Bacterial small subunit ribosomal RNA", at positions 28 to 507 of the family's 1533-position model. The record is from RNAcentral.
GACGAACGCUGACGGCGUGCUUAACACAUGCAAGUCGAACGGUGAAGCGCCUUCCUUUUUGGUGGGUGUGGAUGAGUGGCGAACGGGUGAGUAACACGUGAGUAACCUGCCCCCUUCUUCUGGAUAACCGCAUGAAAGUGUGGCUAAUACGGGAUAUUCUGGGUCUGUCGCAUGAUGGGUCUGGGAAAGAUAUUGUUUCGGUGGGGGAUGGGCUCGCGGCCUAUCAGCUUGUUGGUGGGGUGAUGGCCUACCAAGGCGGUGACGGGUAGCCGGCCUGAGAGGGUGGACGGUCACACUGGGACUGAGACACGGACCAGACUCCGACGGGAGGCAGCAGUGGGGAAUAUUGCACAAUGGGCGCAAGCAUGAUGCAGCGACGCCGCGGGAGGGAUGGAGGCCGUCGGGUUGUGAACCUCUUUCGCCAGUGAAGCAGGCCUGCCUCGUUUGUGGGUGGGUUGACGGUAGCUGGAUAAGAAGCGCCGGCUAACUACGUG